ACAACCUGGCAGGGGAGACACCAUGAUCAAGAAGGUGGUUCACCCAGGGUGAGCACUCCGGCCGUGCUGACCCCUGCGAAUUCCCCAAAUGUGGGAAUCUGACUGCAUAAGUUAUGGUAGUGGGGGACUGUAUUCGUGCUCUCCCCGU
Molecule: small nuclear RNA, 148 nt
Filed under: Sinocyclocheilus anshuiensis
Lineage: Eukaryota; Metazoa; Chordata; Actinopteri; Cypriniformes; Cyprinidae
Description: U1 spliceosomal RNA (ENSSANG00000020185.1)
Rfam family: U1 spliceosomal RNA
About the family: U1 is a small nuclear RNA (snRNA) component of the spliceosome (involved in pre-mRNA splicing).
Source: RNAcentral